Hydractinia symbiolongicarpus is the source of this 1814-nucleotide long non-coding RNA. RefSeq lists it as uncharacterized. Lineage: Eukaryota; Metazoa; Cnidaria; Hydrozoa; Anthoathecata; Hydractiniidae. The record is from RefSeq and is a predicted model, not a curated record. The transcript has 2 exons.
UCUACCCUGUUUUCAGACAAGGAAUAACACUAAGAUUUAUUUAUUUAUGCCAUCAUCGGUAUCUACAAACUUGCACUAGACAGCAGAGGCUGUAGCCAGGAUACCCAGCUCAACCUUCCACAACAUUUCAUAUUAUAAUUUAUGGCUGGCCUAGUUAUUUAAGCUUUCUUUUAUAGAGAAAGAAAAAAUGAUUAUAAGGGUGGUUUGAAGGGACAACGCUGGGUCUCCUGGCCAAAUUUAUGGCUAGACAGACUGAAAGCCUUUGGAGAUGGCCAGCCAGUUAGGCGUGUACAAGAGUUAUCUCACCUUCUUUUUUGCCUCCAGCGGUGAGUUAAGGGGCCAUUAAUUCAUACUGUAUAUUUUACCGUGGUCACUCACAAACAGAGUUGUUUGCCAUGGUAUAGACAACCGCACCAAACUAAAUUGCUUAAAAAGGAUAACUAUCAUAACACAGGAACUCACAGUAGAGUACUAAACACAAAGUAAAAGGCUAAGAGUAUAAAAUAUCAAUUGUUUAAUAACAAUCUAUGAAGUUUUCUAUAAUGGAGGAUCAUUUGAGACUUAAUUAAUCAGCAUCAGAUAGUUUGUUGGGAAAGGUUGCUGAAUAUUGUUUCAUUAUUUAAAAAAAUGAACGCCGAGCGAAUGUAGAUUGAAGGUGGUUGUAUAUCUAGGUAGCUUGUGAGUGAAGUGCAGAAAAAUUAUAUUUCGAGCUAAAAAUGAUUCCUUCCUGACCAAUAUAGUGAAUUUCAAAAGGAAUAAUUGAAACAAGAACGUGUUGAAAUUUCAAUAAACACAUUGAAAAUGUGUAUGUACUUUUCAUGAAACAAUCGCAUAAUGGUGCCAUGGCGAAAAUUUAUCUCACGAAAUUUAAUUUCACUUUUCGAAAUUCUUCUUCAAUUCAAUUCAAUCUUGCAAAGUUUCUAUGAUUAAAGUAAGUAAGAUAUAUUCUAUCAUCUGAAUAUAUCUUCUCUCUGAAAAAGAUCUAGCAAAAUGGGAAAGUUGCUCCGUGAAAAAUUUAAAAAUAACAACAGCUAGCGAAAAGGACAACGACACCUUAUUUCAUGGGCAGAAGCAAUGCAUAUAAGGACAAACAAGAAACAAAGAAGGCAGAUAAUAAAAGGAGAAUUGAAUUACAUAGUAUGUAAAUCUGUGGAGACUCUGAUAAAAAUCAUAAAUGUUGAAAAUUAUAUUGUAUGGUAGUAAAACUUGAGAGCCAAUAUUGUUUAUGUAUAAAAUAGAAGUAGAGGGUUUAAAUUUUACAAUUUUUAAAGUUUUUAAAUUUUACAACGAAUGCUUGAUGCUGAAAUAUUUUGCUCAAUGUGUUUUUAUUUCUAAAUAUAUACAGUAUUAAGAUAUGGUUAUUAGAAUUAGGGAACAUACUAUAUUUUUAUCUCAAAAUAUACAGAUUUUUUUGGCUUGAUAUUCAAAAACAUUUUGUCUGUUGUUUUGAAUUUUGGAUAGUGAAACAAACUCCAAUACAUUUUUGUUGAUACAUGUUGUGUCAUCAUACUUUAUUUUCUACUUUUUCAUAUUUGAAGGAACACAUUCAAUUAGCAUUGGAUUUAUUGGCUACAAUGCCGCCAUCACAAAACAGUUCUCAACUAUGGGUAGACUUCAUGAAGUGUCAUCCCAAUGGAUGGAAAAUACCGGAAUUGAUGGAUUGUCGAUGAAAUUUAAAAGAGUUGUUCUGAUUGAAUUAGAGCUGUUGAAAAGAUGUGAAGAAGAAGUCGGCAUACUCAAAAAAGAAAUGUCUAGCUACUUGCUUCCUUUUUGCUGCUUGAAGAAACUCUUUACGUUAAGAUUUCAAUCAAGAA